UCCGAGUUGACCCCGGCAGUCUCAUAUGAGUUCCCACCAUCACGUGCUGGCAACAUACGACGAGGGUUGCGCUCGUUGCGGGACUUAACCCAACAUCUCACGACACGAGCUGACGACAGCCAUGCACCACCUGUGAACCGACCACAAGGGGGCACCUAUCUCUAGAUGUUUCCAGUCCAUGUCAAGCCCAGGUAAGGUUCUUCGCGUUGCAUCGAAUUAAUCCACAUGCUCCGCCGCUUGUGCGGGCCCCCGUCAAUUCCUUUGAGUUUCAGCCUUGCGGCCGUACUCCCCAGGCGGGGCACUUAAUGCGUUAGCGCCGGCACCCAGGGGGUCGCUCCCCCAGGCACCUAGUGCCCAUCGUUUACGGCGUGGACUAC
RNAcentral lists this unclassified non-coding RNA (377 nucleotides) under uncultured Actinomycetes bacterium. Its description in RNAcentral is "uncultured actinobacterium contains 16S-23S intergenic spacer region". The record is from RNAcentral. Lineage: Bacteria; Bacillati; Actinomycetota; Actinomycetes.